UUCACAUGAUUUUUAGUUGAGUGUUUGUUUUACGAUUAAUCUUUAGUUGAAGGGUUUAAUUACUAAAAACCUUAAAACCCCAUGAAACUGAUAUGCAAUGAUAUUUGUUCAAUGAAGGGAAAAAUAUGUUUCCCUAAAAACCACAUCUUCAGCUUGUUCCUUUAUAACUCUAAAGAAAAGAGAAGGAAAAAAUCUUCAGUUUUUUGUGCAUAAUUUUUAUAAAAUGAGUAGUAUUAUAAAUGGAGAAUCCAAAAUAUAUAUGUUUACAGGUAAUAAAUAUCAUCUCCGCAGCCACCAUUACCACUGCAACCGCUGUCGCCACCACCAUCAUGUUCACGUUCCACUGAUAUCGAUAGUUACGACUUAUGUGACAGUGGUUAGUGGUGACCUUGUUGAUAUUUGUGACACUGGCAGCGGCUAUUAUAUCAAUGGUGGUGGCAUAUAUAUAAAGCUGUCAAUUCGGACUUAAGUCAGCGGAUUGUAGUCCGGUCCGACAUGUAAAUAAGCUGUCUAAGACUGUAUUAUUUAUAUCAGCGGUUUAGCAGAUUAAGACCGCCACGAUUUGCGGUUUGUGAUGGAUUGAUAUAUGCAGUUUAUGGACUUUACCACGGUUUUAUAAAUUAAAGGAUUUUUAACGUAAAAACCCCUCAAUUAAGUUUCGUUUAAGUAAAAACCUCUAAAUUAAAGAUUCAACAGAAAAACCCCCCAACGUCAGCUCUCUUAAUGAAUUAGACCCUCUGUUACUUGUCCCGUUAAAGUCGAGCACUGCGUAUUGGGAUGGUCAUAAAACAGCACGAUUUGUUAAUAAAACAACAUGAUGUUUAAUUAGAUGCAUGUAGUUUACCAUUCCAACUUUAAUUCCUGUCGUAAAAAUUCCCGGAGUGUCGAGAGCUUAGAAUGAUGAACCCUAAUUCGUGAAAGGGAGGGGCUUUGAGUUUCGUUUGGUUCUUGUGAGAAUUCGAGACUGGGUUUGAGAGAGGGUGAGUUUGAGUUUGGUGAGAAAGUUGAAAUCAAGAAGGUUCCUGUGGGUUUGAAAUCGAAAAGUGAAAGAGUAUAUUCGGGAGCCGCUGGAAGACGGACAGUUUUUAAACAGAAGAAUUCAUAUUCAUUUAUAGAAUGCUUGAAACUAUGAUCACCGGUGGUGUUUUUCCAGAGAACAUGAAUAAGUUCUUUUAUUCCCCGUCUGGAAUUGUCGAUCAUAGUAGGAAGGAUAUAUGUUGUGAUACAGAUGUGGUGGAGAUGGUGAACGCCUCAAGUGAACUGGAAAGCAUAAAUCUUUUUGUUGUAAGAGCUGAUGAUCAGUUCUUAUUGGAGGAGAAGAAGAGGAAGAAGAACCUACGAGUGAUCAUUUGAAGUUUGAACCAUUUACAUUAAGUUAAAUUUGUUGCUUGUUGCUAUGUGUUUUAAAGCGUUAUGUUAUUAGUUUCUUCCAACGACAAGUGCAAAAAAUAGUUUUAAAUGUCAUGUUAUUAAACAA
Molecule: long non-coding RNA, 1477 nt
Organism: Brassica napus (rape)
Lineage: Eukaryota; Viridiplantae; Streptophyta; Magnoliopsida; Brassicales; Brassicaceae
Exons: 2
Source: RefSeq, a predicted model, not a curated record